GACGAACGCUGGCGGCGUGCUUAACACAUGCAAGUCGAACGAUGAAGAAAAGAAUCGAAGCUUCGGCAGAAAUUCAUUUCGGAUUAGUGGCGGACGGGUGAGUAACGCGUGAGCAACCUACCUCUUACAAAGGGAUAGCCUCGGGAAACCGGGAUUAAUACCAUAUAACAUUGCGACGAAGCAUUUCGAUGCAAUCAAAGCUACGGCGGUAAGAGAUGGGCUCGCGUCCCAUUAACCGGAUGGUGAGGUAACGGCUCACCAUAGUGACGAUGGGUAACCGGCCUGAGAGGGUGAACGGUCACACUGGAACUGAGACACAGUCCAGACUCCUACGGGAGGCAGCAGUGGGGAAUAUUGCACAAUGGAGGGAAAUCUGAUGCAGCGACGCCGCGUGAGUGAUGAAGGAAUUCGUUUCGUAAAACUCUGUUCUAUGGGAAGAAAAGGACUGUACCAUAGGAGAAAGCUCCGGCUAAAUACGUG
This 480-nucleotide ribosomal RNA is filed under the name uncultured bacterium. RNAcentral describes it as "partial 16S ribosomal RNA". It matches the Rfam family "Bacterial small subunit ribosomal RNA", at positions 28 to 507 of the family's 1533-position model. The record is from RNAcentral.